CAGCCGCCGCGGUAAUACGUAGGGGGCGAGCGUUACCCGGAUUCACUGGGCGUAAAGCGGGUGUAGGCGGCUCGGUAAGUCGGGUGUGAAAUCCCACAGCUCAACUGUGGAAUUGCGCCCGAAACUGCUGAGCUUGGGGCCGGUAGAGGGAGACGGAAAUGCCGGUGUAGGGGUGAAAUCCGUAGAUAUCGGCAGGAACGCCGGUGGGGAAGCCGGUCUCCUGGGCCGCGCCCGACGCUGAGACCCGAAAGCUAGGGGAGCAAACCGGAUUAGAUACCCGGGUAGUCCUAGCCGUAAACGAUGCCCACUAGGUGUGGGGGAUUAAUUCCUCCGUGCUGUAGCUAACGCGUUAAGUGGGCCGCCUGGGGAGUACGCCCGCAAGGGUGAAACUUAAAGGAAUUGGCGGG
This 407-nucleotide ribosomal RNA is filed under the name uncultured microorganism. RNAcentral describes it as "bacterial SSU rRNA". It matches the Rfam family "Bacterial small subunit ribosomal RNA", at positions 509 to 917 of the family's 1533-position model. The record is from RNAcentral.